UUUACCCGUGUAUGUAGGUAUACGUAAUAUGCAUACGCGCACGUAAAAACCACAACUCAUUAACACCGCACCGUUUCGGUUUUGCUUCGUUGUAAUUAUGUUUUUUGUUUUAAUUACUGCAGUAUAUAAAUCGCGGUAAACGAACCUCCGCGUACUCGACGGUCAGCUAAUUCGGUAAAAGUUGCACGUGUUUGGAAUGAUUUUUUUUUUUUACUGAAGAUGGUCAAAAAAUACCUACCAGCGCACGCAGGCAGAUACCUACCUACCUACCAGUAUACCUAUAUCAAACAUCAAUGGCGGAUGUUGACCGAAAGCAGAUUUUCAUUUUACCGGAAACGGAUCAAUUUUGAGUAAAUUUGAAGAAAAAAAAAUGUCCGUUACCAGAGUUACCUAUACCUAUCCAAUAGCCAAACCACGAGUACAAUUUAUAUAAGCUAUCUCGUUGCGGAUCUUGAUUAAUAUUUAGUGGGCCUGGCCUAUUGAUACACUGAGUGAUGAUCGUUGUACUUAUUUCUCGGUUAACGAAAGGAAAAGUACACUUGGAAUUUGGAUGAGGAAGACAUUAUGAUAACAGAAUUUCACAUUUUUAUGGAAAAUAUGCCUCAUACCUAUAAAACGUACAUUGGAGUGCUCGAUGAAACCUUGAAGAUUUACUACAAUUUACGUACCUAUAGUAGUACUUACUACUUGAAACUUGCGUACUAUACGAAGAGGCAAAUAACCCCGCUGGUUUUACUAUACACAACAAUGAUAGGAACCGAACCUACCGAAAAGAUAUUCAUUUGUAUUGUAUUUAAAAAGAUUAUAAUAAGUACCUAGUUUGUGAUACCUAUACGUAUUUCUUUGAUCAGCGAUCAAUCAGUCAUCAUGUAAAACGUUCUCGCUACAAACGAUUCCGAAAAUACUUACCAGCUAAAAAGGAUUAAUUCCAGUACUCGGUACGCAAACUAUUACCUCUAUUAUUGAACUUCGAUCAUUAUUAUAUUAUCAUCUGCUUAACACGAUAAAAUAAUCCGAUUGAAAACUCGUCGAAAAUCUCCAUGGGAUUGGAGUUGGGACGCGAUUAAACGCCCUCAUCGAUGAUUACGUUUGGGUAGGUACCUAUACAUAAAUGUAUAUUGCAAGUAAUGUGACCGAAAUGUUCGAGUACCCGAUUUCGUCGAAUUAAUUAAUAAUUUACUGACCAGAAAAUACGAAAAUAAAUCAAUUUUUGCCAUCUUUUAUCUGCAUUUUUCACACAUUUUUAGUGACGGUGCAGGAGUAAUUAACGAGUUAAAAUGUUGUACUGCACUUGCUUUAUGUUAAAUAUCAAUUAGAGUUACGUAGAUAUAAAGAAAGAUAUCUGUAUGCGGUUGUGAUGUACAUUGUAAUUAUUCAUUAACCCAGUAUUUGCACUUGUUUUAUCUUAUCGACUAUUCACGCCUCUUUGGCUCUUUGUAAAUACACUCGACAAAGAAAC
Long non-coding RNA from Planococcus citri (citrus mealybug), 1459 nucleotides. RefSeq lists it as uncharacterized. The record is from RefSeq and is a predicted model, not a curated record. NCBI's taxonomy places the organism in Eukaryota, Metazoa, Arthropoda, Insecta, Hemiptera, Pseudococcidae. The transcript has 3 exons.